Pelobates cultripes (western spadefoot toad) is the source of this 253-nucleotide non-coding RNA. The record is from the annotation of a GenBank genome assembly. NCBI's taxonomy places the organism in Eukaryota, Metazoa, Chordata, Amphibia, Anura, Pelobatidae.
CCCACAGUAUCUGUGACAGCUCCCUCACAGACUUCUAUGAGAGAACCCGCGCCAUGGACAAAGGUAGCUCCAUUUUGCUUAAAGGGACACUAUAGGGCAGCAGUGACCUUCAGCAUCUCCACGCUCUGCUUAAAAGUAAGGAGAGGGGAGCCUAAACUGUGCUAUAUAUGUUUGUAUUCCUGACAUUAUUGUAUUCCUUUAACCCCUUAAAGACACGACAUGUGUGACAUGUCAUGAUUCCCUUUUAUUCCAG